This 506-nucleotide ribosomal RNA is filed under the name uncultured bacterium. Its description in RNAcentral is "partial 16S ribosomal RNA". It matches the Rfam family "Bacterial small subunit ribosomal RNA", at positions 30 to 523 of the family's 1533-position model. The record is from RNAcentral.
AUUGAACGCUGGCGGCAGGCCUAACACAUGCAAGUCGAACGGUAACAGAGAGUAGCUUGCUACUCUGCUGACGAGUGGCGGACGGGUGAGUAAUGUCUGGGGAUCUGCCUGAUGGAGGGGGAUAACUACUGGAAACGGUAGCUAAUACCGCAUAAUGUCGCAAGACCAAAGCGGGGGACUUUCGGGCCUCGCACCAUCGGAUGAACCCAGAUGGGAUUAGCUAGUAGGUAGGGUAAUGGCUUACCUAGGCGACGAUCCCUAGCUGGUCUGAGGGGAUGACCAGCCACACUGGAACUGCGAGACGGGCGGGACUCCUACGGGAGGCAGCAGUGGGGAAUAUUGCACAAUGGGCGACAGCCUGAUGCAGCCAUGCCGCGUGUAUGAAGAAGGCCUUCGGGUUGUAAAGUACUUUCAGUCAGGAGGAAGGGUGUGAAAUUAAUACUUUCAUGCAUUGACGUUACUGACAGAAGAAGCACCGGCUAACUCCGUGCCAGCAGCCGCGGUAA